UACAGAGGUCUCGAGCGUUAUGCGGAAUUAUUGGGCGUAAAGAGCGUGUAGGCGGCUUUACAGGUCCGUUGUGAAAACUCGAGGCUCAACCUCGAGACGCCGGUGGAAACCGUAAGGCUAGAGUCCGGAAGAGGAGAGUGGAAUUCCUGGUGUAGCGGUGAAAUGCGCAGAUAUCAGGAGGAACACCCGUGGCGAAAGCGGCUCUCUGGGACGGUACUGACGCUGAGACGCGAAAGCGUGGGGAGCAAACAGG
Molecule: ribosomal RNA, 253 nt
Filed under: uncultured bacterium
Lineage: Bacteria
Description: partial 16S ribosomal RNA
Rfam family: Bacterial small subunit ribosomal RNA
Source: RNAcentral